AGGGCUAUAGCUCCGUUAGGUAGAGCACCUCAUUUACACCAGAGGGCCUAUGGUUUGAGUCCGUAUAGCCCUA
RNAcentral lists this transfer RNA (73 nucleotides) under Erodium gruinum. RNAcentral describes it as "tRNA-Val". It matches the Rfam family "tRNA". From Rfam's summary of the family: Transfer RNA (tRNA) molecules are approximately 80 nucleotides in length. Their secondary structure includes four short double-helical elements and three loops (D, anti-codon, and T loops). The record is from RNAcentral. Lineage: Eukaryota; Viridiplantae; Streptophyta; Magnoliopsida; Geraniales; Geraniaceae.